AGCCUUCUGUAUCCGUGAUGAGAUUUCGUCAGCGACCAAGCCGCUGGCGUUGGCUGAUGCAACUCUUCAAAUAAGAGAAGUG
Molecule: microRNA precursor, 82 nt
Filed under: Trichobilharzia regenti
Lineage: Eukaryota; Metazoa; Platyhelminthes; Trematoda; Strigeidida; Schistosomatidae
Description: mir-3492 microRNA precursor family
Rfam family: mir-3492 microRNA precursor family
Source: Rfam by way of RNAcentral